GCCCUCGUAGCUCAAUGGUAGAGCGCGUCACUAGUACUCUAAAAAAUGACGAGGCUGCCGGUUCGAUUCCGUCCGAGGGCA
RNAcentral lists this transfer RNA (81 nucleotides) under Blumeria graminis f. sp. tritici. It matches the Rfam family "tRNA". From Rfam's summary of the family: Transfer RNA (tRNA) molecules are approximately 80 nucleotides in length. The record is from Rfam by way of RNAcentral. RNAcentral also lists the same sequence under 1 other name. Lineage: Eukaryota; Fungi; Ascomycota; Leotiomycetes; Helotiales; Erysiphaceae.